UACGUAGGGUGCGAGCGUUGUCCGGAAUUAUUGGGCGUAAAGAGCUCGUAGGCGGUCUGGCGCGUCGGUCGUGAAAACUUGGGGCUUAACCCUGAGCUUGCGGUCGAUACGGGCAUGACUGGAGUUCGGUAGGGGAGACUGGAAUUCCUGGUGUAGCGGUGAAAUGCGCAGAUAUCAGGAGGAACACCGGUGGCGAAGGCGGGUCUCUGGGCCGAUACUGACGCUGAGGAGCGAAAGCGUGGGGAGCGAACAGG
This 254-nucleotide ribosomal RNA is filed under the name uncultured bacterium. Its description in RNAcentral is "partial 16S ribosomal RNA". It matches the Rfam family "Bacterial small subunit ribosomal RNA", at positions 524 to 776 of the family's 1533-position model. The record is from RNAcentral.